Molecule: ribosomal RNA, 111 nt
Filed under: Klebsiella pneumoniae
Lineage: Bacteria; Pseudomonadati; Pseudomonadota; Gammaproteobacteria; Enterobacterales; Enterobacteriaceae
Description: partial 23S ribosomal RNA
Rfam family: Bacterial large subunit ribosomal RNA (bases 1-99)
Source: RNAcentral
CUGAAGGAACGUUGAAGACGAUGACGUUGAUAGGCCGGGUGUGUAAGCGCAGCGAUGCGUUGAGCUAACCGGUACUAAUGAACCGUGAGGCUUAACCUUACAACGCCGAAG